GCGCCAGACUCCUACGGGAGGCAGCAGUGAGGAAUAUUGGUCAAUGGCCGAGAGGCUGAACCAGCCAAGUCGCGUGAGGGAUGACGGCCCUACGGGUUGUAAACCUCUUUUGCCGGGGAGCAAAGAGAGUCACGUGUGGCUCAUUGAGAGUACCCGAAGAAAAAGCAUCGGCUAACUCCGUGCCAGCAGCCGCGGUAAUACGGAGGAUGCGAGCGUUAUCCGGAUUUAUUGGGUUUAAAGGGUGCGUAGGCGGGCAUUUAAGCCGGCGGUCAAAUGUCGGGGCUCAACCCCGGCCUGCCGUCGGAACUGGGUGCCUUGAGUGGGCGAGAAGUAUGCGGAAUGCGUGGUGUAGCGGUGAAAUGCAUAGAUAUCGCGCAGAACUCCGAUUGCGAAGGCAGCAUGCCGGCUCCACACUGACGCUGAGGCACGAAAGCGUGGGUAUCGAACAGGAUUAGAUACCCGAGUACU
Molecule: ribosomal RNA, 468 nt
Filed under: uncultured bacterium
Lineage: Bacteria
Description: bacterial SSU rRNA
Rfam family: Bacterial small subunit ribosomal RNA
Source: RNAcentral